RNAcentral lists this ribosomal RNA (347 nucleotides) under uncultured bacterium. RNAcentral describes it as "partial 16S ribosomal RNA". It matches the Rfam family "Bacterial small subunit ribosomal RNA", at positions 338 to 702 of the family's 1533-position model. The record is from RNAcentral.
CCUACGGGAGGCAGCAGUGGGGGAUAUUGCACAAUGGGGGAAACCCUGAUGCAGCGACGCCGCGUGUGGGAAGACGGUCCUCUGGAUUGUAAACCACUGUCCCCAGGGAAGAAGAUGACGGUAGCGGGGGAGGAAGCACCGGCUAACUACGUGCCAGCAGCCGAGGUAAGACGUAGGGAGCGAGCGUUGUCCGGAAUUACUGGGGGUAAAGGGAGCGUAGGCGGGGAUGCAAGUUGUGUGUCCAAACUACAGGCUCAACUGGUAGUCGCACUCAAAACUGCAGCUCUUGAGUGAAGUAGAGGCAGGCGGAAUUCCUGGUGUAGCGGUGAAAUGCUUAGAUAUUAGGA